GUGCUCACCUAGGCAGCACAUAUACUAAAAUUGGAACGAUACAGAGAAGAUUAGCAUGGCCCCUGCACAAGGAUGACACGCAAAUUUGUGAAGCAUUCCAUUAAAAA
Molecule: small nuclear RNA, 107 nt
Filed under: Lynx canadensis (Canada lynx)
Lineage: Eukaryota; Metazoa; Chordata; Mammalia; Carnivora; Felidae
Source: RNAcentral